CCGCCCCUAGCAGGGAUGGCGGCGGCAGCGGCGGCUCGAGCGGUCCUGGUCCCGGCGCUACGGCGCCAGCUGAUGGGCUUCACCCGGAGGCGUCUGGUCGGGGGCGCCGCAGGCCAGGCACUGCAUUUUGGAGGCGGCAGAUUGAGAAGUACACAGGCCGCGACACAAGUUGUGCUGAAUGUGCCUGAGACCCGAGUCACAUGUUUGGAAAAUGGACUCCGAGUGGCCUCUGAAGACUCUGGGCUCUCGACGUGCACGGUUGGGCUUUGGAUUGAUGCUGGAAGUCGAUAUGAAAAUGAGAAGAAUAAUGGAACUGCUCACUUUCUGGAACAUAUGGCUUUCAAGGGCACCAAAAAGAGGUCCCAGUUAGAUCUGGAACUUGAGAUUGAAAAUAUGGGGGCUCAUCUCAACGCCUAUACUUCCAGAGAGCAGACUGUGUACUAUGCCAAAGCGUUCGCUAAGGAUUUACCAAGAGCUGUAGAGAUUCUUGCUGAUAUCAUACAAAACAGUACAUUGGGAGAAGCAGAGAUUGAGCGUGAGCGUGGUGUGAUCCUUAGAGAAAUGCAGGAAGUUGAAACCAAUUUACAAGAAGUUGUUUUUGAUUAUCUUCAUGCCACAGCUUAUCAGAAUACGGCACUCGGACGCACAAUUUUGGGACCAACUGAAAAUAUCAAGUCUAUCAGUAGGAAGGACUUGGUGGAGUACAUAACCACACACUAUAAGGGGCCAAGAAUUGUGCUUGCUGCUGCUGGAGGCGUUUCCCACAAUGAACUGCUUAAGUUAGCCAAGUUUCACUUUGGGGACUCUCUGUCCAGCAACACAGGAGAGAUACCAGUUCUGCCUCCCUGCAAGUUCACUGGAAGUGAGAUUCGUGUGAGAGAUGACAAGAUGCCUCUGGCACACCUUGCGAUCGCUGUUGAAGCUGUUGGCUGGGCGCAUCCAGACACUCUGUCUCUCAUGGUCGCAAACACACUGAUUGGCAACUGGGAUCGCUCUUUUGGCGGAGGACUGAACUUAUCUAGCAAGCUGGCCCAACUCACCUGUCAUGGCAACCUCUGCCAUAGCUUCCAGUCUUUCAACACUUCCUACACAGAUACAGGAUUGUGGGGACUCUAUAUGGUUUGUGAACCAGCCACCAUUGCAGACAUGCUACAUAUUGUUCAAAAGGAAUGGAUGCGGCUCUGUACAGGUGUCACCGAGAGUGAAGUUGCAAGAGCCAAAAAUCUUCUGAAAACAAACAUGUUGCUGCAGCUCGAUGGCUCGACUCCCAUUUGUGAAGAUAUUGGCAGGCAAAUGUUAUGUUAUAAUAGAAGAAUUCCCAUUCCUGAGCUUGAAGCAAGAAUUGAUGCUGUCACUGCUGAGACAGUUCGAGAAGUGUGCACCAAGUAUAUUUACGAUAAAAGCCCAGCUGUUGCUGCUGUGGGUCCCAUCGAGCAACUACCAGAUUUUGACAGGAUUCGCAGUAAUAUGUGCUGGGCUCGUGGUUAAAGUGAUCCUCCAAACAUUUUCAACACUCAUUUGAUAAAACUAGCAGACAGGCACUGCUUCCGCUAUCUUCUCCCAUCUCUCAGGCGUAUUUACUGGGUAGGUUUUCAGAGCUUGCUCCAAAAGCUUCUGCUCUUCCGUCGUCCACGGGGUGAGAUCUGUGCAUGGAGCUGCUGAAGAAAAAUGUUAUUUGAAAGAAAACUUACUCUAAUUGCCAAGUGCCCAUUCAACACUGGAAUAAAUAAUGCUGAACUCACUUUCAGAAAUGAGACACAUCAAAAAGUCAGUGCUCGUGAGAGAUGGAAAAAGGCUUAUGCUAAUGAAUUGCAGAAAAUUAAAUAUGUCAAGGUCUUUUAAAACACAGUUUAAACCUGAUUUAUAAUGCUGAUCUUUUAUAACCUAAUACUUUACUCACUAGACCUCAAACAAAUAAAAGAAAACCCAUAUAAGGUGAUGGUAUAGUUUGGCUAGUGAAGAUUAGGACAGGAAAAAAGGACUCCCUCACACUUACUGAAGGCUUCAGCUGGAUCAACAACCAUUCCCAUUUUACAAAAACAUGUUGGAACAAAAUGAAGCAUCCCAGCUCGCUCUGGAGGCAGGGCAGCAAUUACGGUUAAUGUGCUACCUGUUCACACCCUGAAGGCUCCGGAGCCAGUGUUGAGGACCACUGGGGCUACGGUUACUCCAUAUAUCACUAGUAAACAUCUCACACGUUUUCUAGGAAUACAUUCUUUUUAAGGCUGCAAGUAUACACAGCCAACACUGUACUGACAGUGGUCCUUGUAGGAAAAACAGGAACGUUAAACGGUAGGCAGUUGAUUUGGCUCUUUGGUUAGUAGCUGACACUGGCAGGCAGUUUCAGAUCAUGCAGUGAAAAUGCAAUAGCAAAAAAAAAAGAAAAGAAAAUGCAAUAGCACCUAAAGCAUAGGUUUCCAAAUUUAUUUUGUCAGAAAAAUAACUCCGCAUUCCCUGGCAAUGAAAAUGGUUCAUACUAUAUCCCAUAAUCCAGGAAAAAGGGAAGAUAGCUGUUAUACAGUGCCCUUUUUGCUCCUGCACCCCUAGGGGGGGCGGUAUUGCCCACUUCGGGAAACACUGACCUACAAUAUCAAUAUUCUGAAAUUUUAUCCUCAAAGAUUCUACUUAAGCCUAGAAACCAAAGUUUUCUCCCAAUUUAAGAAGAGUGACAGGUUGAAAACACAAACCCAACGUAUUCAAAACGGCACAUGUAUAGAACCUGGUUGUGUGUUGGGUUUCGAUCUGUAAGGUAGCAUUCUGAAACCACCAGUUAGUAUUCAAGAUAAGGGGAGAGACUGAGCUUUCUAUUCUACUGUCAUGAAGGCCUCAGAUUCACGGGGCAGUUCUACCUCGUCAUAUAGGGUCAUGGCAGUCAGUGGGUUUUCAUAGUUAUCUGGAAUUAAAGAAUUGAAAAGCUUACAAAUUAGCUUUAAAAUUCCAAGAAGCCCUUAGUUAAGUUGCCUCUUAAUUAGUCUGGCCCACCUCAACACCACAGAUAUGCCUUUUUUGUGGAAAAAGAUGGAAAUGUCAUGUUCCUCUUGCUCAUCAGCUUUUAUACUACCACCAUAAAAACAUGUUUGCAGAAUUCCUGUGCACAAGUCCUUACAAAGAGGUGAAGGCCUCCUGCCCUCCCUGGGCUCCCCCCACCCCCACGGGAAAGUGAACUGCUUGAGAAACCGCUCUGAGGGUCUGCCUCCAUCAUGGAAACAAGACCCAGCAACAUGGUUAAUAGUAUAACAAAUGUUGGAUUUUUAAAAGGGUUUAGGACGGAGUGCUUAUCCCUGAAUGUUGUAUAUUUUGUGGAUGGUUUAAAAGAACAAAACCCAGGAUCCCCAAAUGUGAACGUGUUCCUAUCUGCUUAUUCUCCCUUCUAUCCCCAAAUACCCUGCUUGCGUUUUGCACUGAUUAGUAAAAUCCACUGAACAAAACAUAGCCUAAUAGCAUCUGAAAAGAAUGAGCUACAACAUCUGAUUAGUUAUGAGCAUUGUGGAAAAUGCUUGCUUUACAAACCUUCGAACCGUUCUGAAGGUGUUGCAUCAUCUGUUUGAGGUACCACUCCGUGUUCCUUUUUAAAUUUAUCAAAAGCCUUUUUGUUUAUGUCAUCUUUUUGAUGAGGAUCUGAAAAAUGUUUUAAUGCAUUAAAGUCCUUAAAAUUACAGAUUUUAAAAAGUAUUAAAGAUAGCAAAGAAAUUGAUUUCUCACAACUAACUCACCAAGUUUUUGGAGACUCUUUGCUUUGCCAAUAACGUCCUUGGCAUUUCUCUUGACACCAGAUGAUGAAUGUAUGUUCAUGUAAUUGGCAAUAACUUCCCAUCUACAACAACCAAUAGAAUAGUUUAAUGAUGGCUACAGGGUAAAAACAACAAAAACCAGCACCCUUAUUUUUUAUGGCAGGAGGGAGUUAGUUGAGCUCAACUAGUUAGUUCAACUAGUCCUAUAGGUCUGGCUCAACUAGUGGUAUAAUUGCUACUACUGCCUAUAGUUUUCCAUGUUUAAACAAUGGUAUAUUAUCUUGGAAUAAAGUUUGUACAAAACCGUA
Echinops telfairi (small Madagascar hedgehog) is the source of this 4039-nucleotide RNA transcript. It is a transcript of the gene named peptidase, mitochondrial processing subunit beta, with no coding region annotated. NCBI's taxonomy places the organism in Eukaryota, Metazoa, Chordata, Mammalia, Afrosoricida, Tenrecidae. The transcript has 14 exons. The record is from RefSeq and is a predicted model, not a curated record.